UCUCCGUUGGUGAACCAGCGGAGGGAUCAUUACUGAGUUUACAACUCCCAAACCCUUUGUGAAUCGUACUCGUUGCUUCGGGGGCGACCCUGCCGUCCGCGGCUGAGCGCCCCCGGGGUCAAUCAAACACUGCAUUCUCUGCGUCGGAGUAUUAGUAAAUCUAAUCAAAACUUUCAACAACGGAUCUCUUGGUUCUGGCAUCGAUGAAGAACGCAGC
RNAcentral lists this unclassified non-coding RNA (217 nucleotides) under uncultured fungus. Its description in RNAcentral is "sequence contains ITS1, 5.8S rRNA gene". The stretch from base 169 to 217 matches the Rfam family "5.8S ribosomal RNA", at positions 1 to 49 of the family's 154-position model. The record is from RNAcentral. Lineage: Eukaryota; Fungi.